This 497-nucleotide ribosomal RNA is filed under the name uncultured bacterium. RNAcentral describes it as "partial 16S ribosomal RNA". It matches the Rfam family "Bacterial small subunit ribosomal RNA", at positions 28 to 507 of the family's 1533-position model. The record is from RNAcentral.
GAUGAACGCUGGCGGCGUGCCUAAUACAUGCAAGUCGAGCGAACAGAUAAGGAGCUUGCUCCUUUGAAGUUAGCGGCGGACGGGUGAGUAACACGUGGGUAACCUACCUAUAAGACUGGGAUAACUUCGGGAAACCGGAGCUAAUACCGGAUAACAUUUAGAACCGCAUGGUUCUAAAGUGAAAGAUGGUUUUGCUAUCACUUAUAGAUGGACCCGCGCCGUAUUAGCUAGUUGGUAAGGUAACGGCUUACCAAGGCGACGAUACGUAGCCGACCUGAGAGGGUGAUCGGCCACACUGGAACUGAGACGCGGUCCAGACUCCUACAGGAGGCAGCAGCAGAGAAUCUUACGCAAUGGACGAAAGCCUAACGGAGCACCGCCGCGUGAGUGAUGAAGGGUUUCUGCUCGUAAAACUCUGUUAUUAGGGAAGAACAAAUGUGUAAGUAACUGUGAACAUCUUGACGGUACCUAAUCAGAAAGCCACGGCUAACUACGUG